AGAGCGAACGCUGGCGGCAGGCCUAAAACAUGCAAGUCGAACGGACCCUUCGGGGUUAGUGGCGGACGGGUGAGUAACACGUGGGAACGUGCCUUUUGGUUCAGAACAACUCAGGGAAACUUGAGCUAAUACUGAAUAAGCCCUACGGGGGAAAGAUUUAUCGCCAUUAGAGCGGCCCGCGUUGGAUUAGCUAGUUGGUGAGGUAAAGGCUCACCAAGGCUACGAUCCAUAGCUGGUCUGAGAGGAUGAUCAGCCACACUGGGACUGAGACACGGCCCAGACUCCUACGGGAGGCAGCAGUUAGGAAUCUUGCGCAAUGGGCAAAGCCUGACGCAGCCAUGCCGCGUGAAUGAUGAAGGUCUUAGGAUUGUAAAAUUCUUCAGUGGGAAGAUAAUGACUGUACCCACAGAAGAAGCUCCGGCUAACUUCGCGCCAGCAGCCGC
This 443-nucleotide ribosomal RNA is filed under the name uncultured bacterium. Its description in RNAcentral is "SSU rRNA". It matches the Rfam family "Bacterial small subunit ribosomal RNA", at positions 26 to 518 of the family's 1533-position model. The record is from RNAcentral.